UCCGCCACCGCAGCUUCUAGGUCCUUCCUCCGUUCUACCUCCGCCGCUGCCAGAAUGGCAUCCGCACAGAAAGCCGGAUCCAAACCAGCUUUUUCUCCAUUUCGCAUCUCCAAACAAAGCCCCUUCUCCCCUCGCAUUUUCAGGUACCAAAAAAUCAUCCCCGUCACUCUUUUUAUUACUGAUACUAUUUUUUUCUGCAUUUAAGGUCAAAUUUUUUCAUGGUGGGCUUUGAAUUUGAAAGGUCACCAGUGGAGAUGAGUUGCUGUGUAGAGACAAUGCUUCCAUACCACACUGCCACUUCCUCCGCAUUGCUUAAUUCAAUGCUCUCCGUUUCUCGCCGCAGCUAUGGUUGGACGCCUGAAGGUGUUUAGGAGUGAGGGAAACUUUGAAGGCCUAGAAAUGCGAUAGGUUUGAAUAAGAUGAGGAAGGGCCUUCAGUACUGAAAUCGUUGUGAUGUGAAUCUUGCUCUAUUUAUGCAUGAAGAUUUUUGGGUUUUUAAUAACCUGGUCUCUUUCUAUCUGCUUCUAUCCCUUGCAAAAUGAAAGAACGUUGUUCUUCUAUCCUUUUGUAGGGCAGUGCAAGCCUAGAUGAAGAUCAAGCGAUGAAAGAUGGAGUCAUUUGAGUCUCUUUUGUUGUCAACUUUUGAAAGUACUGGAGAAUGCUAUUUUUGACUUGAGUAGAUUAGGACUGUUUUUUUUCUAGAGAUAAGGUCAAAAGUUGAGAGACCGAACAGUUUCAACCAAUGUCAUGGAAUUGUGGGAUUCAUUUAUUCCUCAACCAUUUCAGUUGUUUUUUCACCUAUGUAACGAAUUUGCUAGAUUCAUUUUACAAAAAAAAAUCUCACAAAUGGCAACUGAUCACCUUAAAUGGUUCAACAAUGAUCUAAAAUAUUUCAUUUUUGCUAGUACUGAUGUUUCCAUGUCUGAUUUUA
RNA transcript from Populus trichocarpa (black cottonwood), 931 nucleotides. RefSeq lists it as uncharacterized. Lineage: Eukaryota; Viridiplantae; Streptophyta; Magnoliopsida; Malpighiales; Salicaceae. The transcript is spliced from 2 exons. The record is from RefSeq and is a predicted model, not a curated record.